CACAAGGUUAGGUUGUUUUCUUAUUAAUUAAAUGGCAAGCCUUACAUUUGGGCAUAUGAAGAUAAGGAAUAAACAUGCUUCAGAUGUGUGGGCCUACAGGCAUUGGAUUCUUGUAGAUUGAUCUAUUGUUUGCAAUGCCUCCAUUCUUAGAUGGUGGAGAUUUCUUGACCAUUCCACAUUUGCACAACCUCGUUCCAGAUUUGAAGCUGGGACGCCUACAAUUGGAGAAGCAAUUGGUUUGGGGAGCUGCUAUUGAUUAUUUAUCUAGGAUCGAAAUGCAAAAAAUUCAUAGUUACGAAGUGAGUUGAUUGAAAUUUGGUAUAUACCCUUUGUUUGAGAAUUUUUGGGCGGUGAAAAAUGCGUGAAGCAACUAAAUCAGGGUAUCAACUAAAUAAAUACCUUCAUAGUAAGUUAGUAAUAGAAUUUUUUUCUUUAAUCAAGGAAUUUAUGUAUU
Molecule: long non-coding RNA, 454 nt
Organism: Cucumis melo (muskmelon)
Lineage: Eukaryota; Viridiplantae; Streptophyta; Magnoliopsida; Cucurbitales; Cucurbitaceae
Exons: 3
Source: RefSeq, a predicted model, not a curated record